This 850-nucleotide long non-coding RNA is filed under the name Heterocephalus glaber (naked mole-rat). Its description in RNAcentral is "lncRNA (ENSHGLG00000038442.1)". Lineage: Eukaryota; Metazoa; Chordata; Mammalia; Rodentia; Bathyergidae. The record is from RNAcentral.
GUCUAAUGUCAGUACCCCUCAAACUGGUGUGGCAAAACUGGCUGGAAAAAGAGGCAUAGCAUAUAAGGCCGCUGGAUGGAGAAGUGGGCGGGACUUGUGAAUUUCAAGUUCCGGGUGCCAGAUAACUCUCAGGACCCAUAUGUAGACUAUCUCACUAGCUCUCACGAGAUAUGGCAGGCAUUGACGAGAUCGGACGCCAUGAUACUGUGCUAUUGUGAGGCAUCUAGAAUACUUUUAUUUUACAUUUUUAACUUUUUCUUUUUUUUUUUUGGUACUGGGGAUCAAACUCAUGACCUUGCACUUACUUGCAAGGAAGGCGCUGGUGCCACUGAGCUAAAUUCCCAGCCCCUUGGUGAGACAUUUUUAAAGGAACUACCCCACAUUUUGGCCACCAGCCAUGAGAGUAAAGCAAGUAUCAGAGAUCAAGAUUAAAGCUAGCACCACCUGAAUUGUUUGAAGAACAAGAUCGCCCAAAAGGAAAAAGCUACUCCUGUGAGCCUCUGGAAGACCUGAGAUAUCUUUUUAAAAAGCAAGCCUGCAGUCCAGCUACAAGCAAGAAAACAAGAUUUUGCUAAGGCCCCAAUUCUAAGACUCUUGGCAUCUGACAUACCCCUAACAUACAUUCUUCUGUACAGAAAAUGAGGAGAUCUGACCUGCUCCUCACAUUUGGGGUAAUGGUAAAGUUUCUUUCUCCCAUUACACAGGCAGCUUGGUGAUCACUAACUCUUCUAAUUAUUUUCGGACAGGUUUUUCUGCUGUCAACCCAGCCAGUGAGCCACAAUACCCCAAGGUAGCUGGAGGUUACAGUUGAUCACUAAAAUUCAUGGGGGUUACAUUCCUAGAACACCUG